GGCAAAGGGAAGUUCAUCAGUGGGGCUACAAGCGAGUGAGUCACAUCACUCUACCACAGCCCCUGGGAAGAUCUGAGACCAGGGGCAACAGCAGCCUUAACAGGGGCCUCCUGAGCCCCAGGGGAAGUGAGUGCCCAGAGAGCUAGGCUCCAUGAGCGGGCAGACUGGAGGUGAAAAGGACAGGGGCCAUCUCCUGGCUCCACAUAAGGAGACAAAGUCUGUGCAUUGGAGGACAGUCCGCGGCUGGCUGGUUCUGAGGUGGCCCUCUCUGGGGACAUGAAGGUGAAGUGGAGGUACCUUACAUCUUUUGUC
Molecule: ribozyme, 312 nt
Rfam family: Nuclear RNase P
About the family: Ribonuclease P (RNase P) is a ubiquitous endoribonuclease, found in archaea, bacteria and eukarya as well as chloroplasts and mitochondria.
Source: Ensembl